Vigna umbellata (rice bean) is the source of this 978-nucleotide non-coding RNA. The record is from RefSeq and is a predicted model, not a curated record. NCBI's taxonomy places the organism in Eukaryota, Viridiplantae, Streptophyta, Magnoliopsida, Fabales, Fabaceae.
CCGGUCUAUCGAAGUGAAGGCGAAGUGGGUGAACCGAACCGAUCCAAAUUUUGGAACUAACCAUAGAAACGAACAAGAGAAAGAAGAAACGUCAGCAAUGGCGAUGGCAAUGCUUCUGUCUUCUCCAGCUUCAGCUUCACCGCCAACUGCACUCUCUCACCUCAACCGCCAGCAGCAAUCUUCAAUUUCAUGCAUUCAUCUACCUUCUCUCUCUCGCUCUUCACCGCCAUCGCUCUCACACACCUUCAAUCCCCUCAGGUCCUUCAUCGGUCACCAUGGAAUCACAAGCUUCGCCAAAUCCAAUACCGGUAACCGAAACGCAGCGUUUCGCAUCCUUUGUUAUGCUCCCGCUCCUCUCACUACUCCCAAUCUCCAAUGGAUCUCUACCGUUUCGUCAAUUGUUUUAAUACUGGCAAAAGGCACUGCGGUACCGAAAUCGUAUAUUGUUCCGCUGUUUGCGUUGCAAGCUCCUGCUGGUGUCGUUUCCUGGAUCAAAGGUAGAUAUGGUGUGUGGACGGCAUUCUUGGCACUUCUGAUUCGUCUAUUCUUCUAUAUUCCUGGUGAGCUUGAAUUGCCGUUUCUGGCAUUACUCUUGGUGAUGAUAGCUCCUUAUGAGGCUAUGAAAUUAAGGCACACAAAAGAAGGUGCCGUGGUUUCAUUGUUGAUUGCGGUGUAUUUGGCUUUCCAGCACUUCUCAAGAACAAGCUUACAGCAAUCAUUUGACCAAGGUGACGGGGUUAGAUGAACUGAUGUGAUUCUUGGACUCACGUUCAUUCAAUAAUUUUGUGAUGCACAUGAGCUACAGGUUUGUAAUGAAGAAAGUUGUCUCCCUUCUAAGUACGAUUCCUUUCCUAAGAAACUCUAAGCUAUUAUGCUGCUGCUUCUGCUGCCUUCUCCAACAGGAACUCUGAAUACUCUUGUCAUGCUUAUGUUGCCUAUUCUUACCCAAUCAAAUUCUCUAUCGCAUAACUUCUAUUA